Molecule: long non-coding RNA, 467 nt
Organism: Triticum dicoccoides
Lineage: Eukaryota; Viridiplantae; Streptophyta; Magnoliopsida; Poales; Poaceae
Exons: 3
Source: RefSeq, a predicted model, not a curated record
GAGUGUGUGGGUCCCACCCCACACACUUUCCCCAAUCCAGCCCGAGCUUGAAGAAGAGCUGCUGCCUCCCCACUCUCUCUCACCCCUCAAGCUCCCCCCUCAAAUCCUCUCCAAAAGGCAUGGCUUCAUCCGGUUCCAGGACGAGGCCACCGUGCGCGGACCAAGAGGACAUGCCGAAGACGUGGUUGGAGGCCAGUUUGGACAAGAAGAAGGAGAAGGAUGUGCCCACACCACCAUGUUGGUGUGGUGAUGUUUGCAAGCUGAAGGUGUCCACUGACCGCAACAAGUCAUGGACAGAAGGUAGAAGGUUUUUCGUGUGUCCCAACUAUGCACAUGAUCGUCGAAGGCCAACUAACGCAUAUGACAUACCACCGUCCCCUCCUCCACUUUGCAAGUACUUCACUUGGAUAGAUCACGAGGUACCAAAAGAUAUCCAAGAGGACCAACGUGCAGAUUGGUUACGGAGG